This is a long non-coding RNA of Hylaeus volcanicus, 1077 nucleotides long. RefSeq lists it as uncharacterized. The transcript is spliced from 2 exons. Lineage: Eukaryota; Metazoa; Arthropoda; Insecta; Hymenoptera; Colletidae. The record is from RefSeq and is a predicted model, not a curated record.
ACAUAGAAUUAAAGCUAUUUUUCGGUACAUCCAUGUCGUAUUUAUCAAAUUUUCCUGAAUUGAAUUUUCAUGAUCACAUUUUCGGUAAAAUAAUCUAAUAUUGCAUCAAAUUUAAAUUACCUUACUAUUGUUGGAAUGUGAUGUAUUAUUACUAUAAUAUUGAACUAACAUUCGUUCUACUAUAACAUUUACACUUAAAAUCGUGAAAAGUGUAAUUCUAGCAUCCACAGUCCUUUUAGAAGAACUAAAUAAUGCACAUAAUAUGCAACUAACUGUAUAAUACAUAAUGGAUUGAAACCAAGAGAUUUCACCUAAAAUCCAGUCUUGAAAAGUACGUAAGUACGAAAAAAUCUCAAAUAAUAAUUCUCUUUGGUCUUUUGCAGAUUCCCUACAAUGGAUAAUAAUACAAAAUUCUUGGAAUGAAUAACUAAAAAUCUUAAACUAUAUUUAUAUAGAUAUUAUAGACUUACUUGAAAUCUUUUACCAUAUUUUGAACACUUGCAGAUGAAGAUUUUAUUACAAUACCAAGUUGUUUUCCGUGAACUAAAAGCUCAUCUUGCAUUUUUAAACUUUCUCUUUGAGUUUCCAGCAUAGCUCCCUGCAUUUCUGAAGCCUCCAAUAACUGUUCCCUCAUUCUUGAGGAAACUUGAUACAAUCUGUGGCACAGAAAUAAUUUUUUCACAAAUUAUUUCAGAAUGUUACAUACUGGGUUACAUAAAAUAAACUUACUCCUUAAUCGUGUUAUCAGUUUCAGCUUGCCAAGCCUCAUAAUUUAAAUAAAAACAGAUAUGCGUGGUGACAAAAUUUACCGCCGUUGCUUUUCUGACAUACUAAGAUGACAAUUGUAAGAUGAGUGUCCAGAGUCUUCUAAAAAACACUGUGCCAAUUGAAGAGCUAAGAGCGAGUGUUGUUGAUCAUUUAAGUUAUUACAGCUAUUUGUUAUUGUUUUAAGAGCAUUGUGCCAACAUAAUCCAUGUUGAGACAAAGUAGAUUUUGCUGUGAAAUGUAAUUCAUAGAUAAUAACGUUUGUGAAGAUUAUAUUAGAUAAUAUAAGAAAUAAAUAAUGCGUACCUUUUA